This 460-nucleotide ribosomal RNA is filed under the name uncultured bacterium. RNAcentral describes it as "partial 16S ribosomal RNA". It matches the Rfam family "Bacterial small subunit ribosomal RNA", at positions 338 to 795 of the family's 1533-position model. The record is from RNAcentral.
CCUACGGGAGGCAGCAGUGAGGAAUAUUGGUCAAUGGGCUUGCGCCUGAACCAGCCAAGUCGCGUGAGGGAAGACUGCCCUAUGGAUUGUAAACCUCUUUUGUCAGGGAGCAAUGCAGUCCACGUGUGCGCUUAGCGAGAGUACCUGCAGAAAAAGCAUCGGCUAACUCCGUGCCAGCAGCCGCGGUAAUACGGAGGAUGCGAGCGUUAUCCGGAUUUAUUGGGUUUAAAGGGUGCGUAGGCGGAAUAUCAAGUCAGCGGUAAAAAUUCGGGGCUCAACCCGGGCGGGCCGUUGAAACUGGUGUUCUUGAGUGGGCGAGAAGUAUGCGGAAUGCGUGGUGUAGCGGUGAAAUGCAUAGAUAUCACGCAGAACUCCGAUUGCGAAGGCAGCAUACCGGCGCCCAACUGACGCUGAAGCACGAAAGCGUGGGUAUCGAACAGGAUUAGAUACCCUAGUAGUC